CGUAGGUGGCAAGCGUUGUCCGGAUUUAUUGGGUUUAAAGGGUGCGUAGGCGGCCUUGUAAGUCAGUGGUGAAAUACUCCAGCUUAACUGGAGGGGUGCCAUUGAUACUGCAGGGCUUGAGUACAGAUGAAGUAGGCGGAAUUGACGGUGUAGCGGUGAAAUGCAUAGAUAUCGUCAAGAACUCCGAUAGCGAAGGCAGCUUACUAAGCUGUAACUGACGCUGAGGCACGAAAGUGUGGGGAUCAAACAGGAUUAGAUACCCUGGUAGUCCACACUGUAAACGUUGAUGACUCGAUGUUGGCGAUACACAGCCAGCGUCCAAGAGCAAUCGUUAAGUCAUCCACCUGGGGAUACGCCGGCAACGGUG
Molecule: ribosomal RNA, 367 nt
Filed under: uncultured organism
Description: bacterial SSU rRNA
Rfam family: Bacterial small subunit ribosomal RNA
Source: RNAcentral